GUGCUUGCGUCGGCAUCACUUACAUUAAAAUUGGAAUGAUACAGAGAUUACCAUGGCCCUAGGUCAGAAUGACCUACAAAUUGGUGAAGCGUUACAUUUUUUU
Nannospalax galili (Upper Galilee mountains blind mole rat) is the source of this 103-nucleotide small nuclear RNA. NCBI's taxonomy places the organism in Eukaryota, Metazoa, Chordata, Mammalia, Rodentia, Spalacidae. The record is from Ensembl.